This 483-nucleotide ribosomal RNA is filed under the name Virgibacillus pantothenticus. RNAcentral's name for it is "bacterial SSU rRNA". It matches the Rfam family "Bacterial small subunit ribosomal RNA", at positions 390 to 863 of the family's 1533-position model. The record is from RNAcentral. Lineage: Bacteria; Bacillati; Bacillota; Bacilli; Caryophanales; Bacillaceae.
AGCAACGCCGCGUGAGUGAUGAAGGUUUUCGGAUCGUAAAACUCUGUUGUUAGGGAAGAACAAGUGCCAUUCAAAUAGGUUGGCACCUUGACGGUACCUAACCAGAAAGCCCCGGCUAACUACGUGCCAGCAGCCGCGGUAAUACGUAGGGGGCAAGCGUUGUCCGGAAUUAUUGGGCGUAAAGCGCGCGCAGGCGGUCCUUUAAGUCUGAUGUGAAAGCCCACGGCUUAACCGUGGAGGGCCAUUGGAAACUGGAGGACUUGAGUACAGAAGAGGAGAGUGGAAUUCCACGUGUAGCGGUGAAAUGCGUAGAGAUGUGGAGGAACACCAGUGGCGAAGGCGACUCUCUGGUCUGUAACUGACGCUGAGGUGCGAAAGCGUGGGUAGCGAACAGGAUUAGAUACCCUGGUAGUCCACGCCGUAAACGAUGAGUGCUAGGUGUUAGGGGGUUUCCGCCCCUUAGUGCUGAAGUUAACGCAUUAA